Molecule: ribosomal RNA, 448 nt
Filed under: uncultured bacterium
Lineage: Bacteria
Description: bacterial SSU rRNA
Rfam family: Bacterial small subunit ribosomal RNA
Source: RNAcentral
UUCCCAGACUCCUACGGGAGGCAGCAGUGGGGGAUAUUGCACAAUGGGGGGAACCCUGAUGCAGCGACGCCGCGUGAGCGAAGAAGUACCUCGGUAUGUAAAGCUCUAUCAGCAGGGAAGAAAAUGACGGUACCUGACUAAGAAGCCCCGGCUAAAUACGUGCCAGCAGCCGCGGUAAUACGUAUGGGGCAAGCGUUAUCCGGAUUUACUGGGUGUAAAGGGAGCGUAGGCGGGCUUGUAAGUUGAAUGUCUAAUCCACCGGCUCAACCGGUGAUCGCGUUCAAAACUGCAGGUCUUGAGUGAAGUAGAGGCAGGCGGAAUUCCUAGUGUAGCGGUGAAAUGCGUAGAUAUUAGGAGGAACACCAGUGGCGAAGGCGGCCUGCUGGGCUUUAACUGACGCUGAGGCUCGAAAGCGUGGGGAGCAAACAGGAUUAGAUACCCCAGUAAG